This 2909-nucleotide ribosomal RNA is filed under the name Escherichia coli. RNAcentral describes it as "23S ribosomal RNA". It matches the Rfam family "Bacterial large subunit ribosomal RNA". The record is from RNAcentral. Lineage: Bacteria; Pseudomonadati; Pseudomonadota; Gammaproteobacteria; Enterobacterales; Enterobacteriaceae.
GGUUAAGCGACUAAGCGUACACGGUGGAUGCCACCGGCAGUCAGAGGCGAUGAAGGACGUGCUAAUCUGCGAUAAGCGUCGGUAAGGUGAUAUGAACCGUUAUAACCGGCGAUUUCCGAAUGGGGAAACUCCAGUGUGAUUCGUCACACUAUCAUUAACUGAAUCCAUAGGUUAAUGAGGCGAACCGGGGGAACUGAAACAUCUAAGUACCCCGAGGAAAAGAAAUCAACCGAGAUUCCCCCAGUAGCGGCGAGCGAACGGGGAGGAGCCCAGAGCCUGAAUCAGUGUGUGUGUUAGUGGAAGCGUCUGGAAAGGCGCGCGAUACAGGGUGACAGCCCCGUACACAAAAAUGCACAUGCUGUGAGCUCGAUGAGUAGGGCGGGACACGUGGUAUCCUGUCUGAAUAUGGGGGGACCAUCCUCCAAGGCUAAAUACUCCUGACUGACCGAUAGUGAACCAGUACCGUGAGGGAAAGGCGAAAAGAACCCCGGCGAGGGGAGUGAAAAAGAACCUGAAACCGUGUACGUACAAGCAGUGGGAGCACAGAGCAAUCUGUGUGACUGCGUACCUUUGUAUAAUGGGUCAGCGACUUAUAUUCUGUAGCAAGGUUAACCGAAUAGGGGAGCCGAAGGGAAACCGAGUCUUAACCGGGCGUUAAGUUGCAGGGUAUAGACCCGAAACCCGGUGAUCUAGCCAUGGGCAGGUUGAAGGUUGGGUAACACUAACUGGAGGACCGAACCGACUAAUGUUGAAAAAUUAGCGGAUGACUUGUGGCUGGGGGGUGAAAGGCCAAUCAAACCGGGAGAUAGCUGGUUCUCCCCGAAAGCUAUUUAGGUAGCGCCUCGUGAAUUCAUCUCCGGGGGUAGAGCACUGUUUCGGCAAGGGGGUCAUCCCGACUUACCAACCCGAUGCAAACUGCGAAUACCGGAGAAUGUUAUCACGGGAGACACACGGCGGGUGCUAACGUCCGUCGUGAAGAGGGAAACAACCCAGACCGCCAGCUAAGGUCCCAAAGUCAUGGUUAAGUGGGAAACGAUGUGGGAAGGCCCAGACAGCCAGGAUGUUGGCUUAGAAGCAGCCAUCAUUUAAAGAAAGCGUAAUAGCUCACUGGUCGAGUCGGCCUGCGCGGAAGAUGUAACGGGGCUAAACCAUGCACCGAAGCUGCGGCAGCGACACUGUGUGUUGUUGGGUAGGGGAGCGUUCUGUAAGCCUGUGAAGGUGUGCUGUGAGGCAUGCUGGAGGUAUCAGAAGUGCGAAUGCUGACAUAAGUAACGAUAAAGCGGGUGAAAAGCCCGCUCGCCGGAAGACCAAGGGUUCCUGUCCAACGUUAAUCGGGGCAGGGUGAGUCGACCCUAAGGCGAGGCCGAAAGGCGUAGUCGAUGGGAAACAGGUUAAUAUUCCUGUACUUGGUGUUACUGCGAAGGGGGGACGGAGAAGGCUAUGUUGGCCGGGCGACGGUUGUCCCGGUUUAAGCGUGUAGGCUGGUUUUCCAGGCAAAUCCGGAAAAUCAAGGCUGAGGCGUGAUGACGAGGCACUACGGUGCUGAAGCAACAAAUGCCCUGCUUCCAGGAAAAGCCUCUAAGCAUCAGGUAACAUCAAAUCGUACCCCAAACCGACACAGGUGGUCAGGUAGAGAAUACCAAGGCGCUUGAGAGAACUCGGGUGAAGGAACUAGGCAAAAUGGUGCCGUAACUUCGGGAGAAGGCACGCUGAUAUGUAGGUGAAGUCCCUCGCGGAUGGAGCUGAAAUCAGUCGAAGAUACCAGCUGGCUGCAACUGUUUAUUAAAAACACAGCACUGUGCAAACACGAAAGUGGACGUAUACGGUGUGACGCCUGCCCGGUGCCGGAAGGUUAAUUGAUGGGGUCAGCGCAAGCGAAGCUCUUGAUCGAAGCCCCGGUAAACGGCGGCCGUAACUAUAACGGUCCUAAGGUAGCGAAAUUCCUUGUCGGGUAAGUUCCGACCUGCACGAAUGGCGUAAUGAUGGCCGGGGCUGUCUCCACCCGAGACUCAGUGAAAUUGAACUCGCUGUGAAGAUGCAGUGUACCCGCGGCAAGACGGAAAGACCCCGUGAACCUUUACUAUAGCUUGACACUGAACAUUGAGCCUUGAUGUGUAGGAUAGGUGGGAGGCUUUGAAGUGUGGACGCCAGUCUGCAUGGAGCCGACCUUGAAAUACCACCCUUUAAUGUUUGAUGUUCUAACGUGGACCCGUGAUCCGGGUUGCGGACAGUGUCUGGUGGGUAGUUUGACUGGGGCGGUCUCCUCCUAAAGAGUAACGGAGGAGCACGAAGGUUGGCUAAUCCUCGGUCGGACAUCAGGAGGUUAGUGCAAUGGCAUAAGCCAGCUUGACUGCGAGCGUGACGGCGCGAGCAGGUGCGAAAAGCAGGUCAUAGUGAUCCGGUGGUUCUGAAUGGAAGGGCCAUCGCUCAACGGAUAAAAGGUACUCCGGGGAUAACAGGCUGAUACCGCCCAAGAGUUCAUAUCGACGGCGGUGUUUGGCACCUCGAUGUCGGCUCAUCACAUCCUGGGGCUGAAGUAGGUCCCAAGGGUAUGGCUGUUCGCCAUUUAAAAGUGGUACGCGAGCUGGGUUUAGAACGUCGUGAGACAGUUCGGUCCCUAUCUGCCGUGGGCGCUGGAGAACUGAGGGGGCUGCUCCUAGUACGAGAGGACCGGAGUGGACGCAUCACUGGUGUUCGGGUUGUCAUGCCAAUGGCACUGCCCGGUAGCUAAAUGCGGAAGAGAUAAGUGCUGAAAGCAUCUAAGCACGAAACUUGCCCCGAGAUGAGUUCUCCCUGACCCUUUAAGGGUCCUGAAGGAACGUUGAAGACGACGACGUUGAUAGGCCGGGUGUGUAAGCGCAGCGAUGCGUUGAGCUAACCGGUACUAAUGAACCGUGAGGCUUAACCUU